AUGGCGUCGUUGCCAGAGGAGGAGGAGGCCUUCGAGCACACUCUGCUGGUGGUGCGCGAGGUGUCGGUGUUCAAGAUCCCGCCGCGCACCACCAGCGGCGGCUACAAGUGCGGCGAGUGGCUGCAGACGGACAAGAUCUGGACGGGCCGCCUCCGCGUGGUGUCGUGCGGCGACCGCUGCGAGAUCCGGCUCGAGGACCCGGGCUCCGGGGACCUCUUCGCCGCCUGCUUCGUGCUGCCGGGCCAGAGGGACAGCGCCGUCGAGACCGUGCUCGACUCUUCGCGCUACUUCGUGCUCCGCAUCGAGGACGGCAGGGGGAAGCAUGCCUUCGUCGGCCUGGGCUUCGGCGAGCGCAAUGAGGCCUUCGACUUCAACGUCGCCCUGUCGGAUCACGAGAAGUAUGUCAAGAGGGAGCAAGAUAAGGAGACCGGCGGUGAGGAGGCAGACGACAGCCAGAUCGAUAUCCACCCGGCGGUGAAUCGCCGGCUCAAGGAAGGUGAAACGAUUAGGAUAAACGUGAAAAACAAGCCAUCAACUAGAAGUGGCAUGCUUUCCUCUGCUGGUUUAUCUGGCGGGGCCACUGAAAAACCUAAAGCAAGCAUGCUCCUUGCACCACCGCCAGGUGCAACCGGGAAGCUUCGGUCUCCGCUCCCACCUCCCCCUAACGACUCUGCAUCUGCAAGAAUGAGUUCUGGACCCAAUGCUGGAACCAGGGCCUCAAAAGAACCUACCAAGAAAAGCAUCGACCCCUUUUCAGAUAUUUCUGCUAUAGAGCGAAGCCUACCCUCAUCCACCGAACUGGGACAAACAAAAAGCACUGGUGCCGGAUGGGCAGCAUUUUGA
Molecule: ribosomal RNA, 843 nt
Filed under: Triticum aestivum (bread wheat)
Lineage: Eukaryota; Viridiplantae; Streptophyta; Magnoliopsida; Poales; Poaceae
Description: partial small subunit ribosomal RNA
Source: RNAcentral